Cercocebus atys (sooty mangabey) is the source of this 598-nucleotide long non-coding RNA. RefSeq lists it as uncharacterized. Lineage: Eukaryota; Metazoa; Chordata; Mammalia; Primates; Cercopithecidae. The record is from RefSeq and is a predicted model, not a curated record. The transcript has 2 exons.
CUCCUGACCUCAAAUGAUCCACCCACCUCGGACUCCCAAAGUGCUGGGAUUACAGGUGUAAGCCACUAUGCCCGGCCUGUAUUUUAAUAGCUAUAGGAUGGAAAAAAUUAAGGCGAAACACACUAACGGGCAUAGUAAAGGAACUACCCAAUAAUUAAUGGGGCAAUCACCAAGAAGUUGUAACAAAUAUAAACUUGCAUACAUUCAACAAUGCAGUCUCAAAAUACAAAGAGUAAAAAAGGACAAAAUUAGUAUGAGAAUUUCACUAUCUCCAAUCAUGAUAGGAAAAGUUAAUAUGAGAAUAAUCUAUAUUAGAAAAUGAUACAUCACACAUACUAAAAAUCAGUAGGCAGAGAAAGAUUUGGAAAGAAGCUAGAGCCUUUAUAUAUAUAUAUAUGUAGAAUAUGUAUGUCUAUAUGGGUGUGUGGAGUGAGGGAGAAGGAAGAGAGACAUUAGAGAGAGCGAGACUCCCUGCAUGUAAAGAUUAUAUAUCCUUUUAAGUACACAUGGACUACUGGCCAUAUAUUAGGUCAUAAAGGAAAUCUCAAUGUAUUCCAAUGAACUAAUAUUCAAACCAUUCUCUAGCCACAAGGCAAAU